This is a long non-coding RNA of Eurytemora carolleeae, 1956 nucleotides long. RefSeq lists it as uncharacterized. The record is from RefSeq and is a predicted model, not a curated record. The transcript has 7 exons. NCBI's taxonomy places the organism in Eukaryota, Metazoa, Arthropoda, Copepoda, Calanoida, Temoridae.
UUUUGAUAUCUUUUAGUCCCUUCUUUAAUGCAUUCUUCCUUUUCUAAUUCAUUUCUUCCACUUAAAGGAUUGGGCUUUUUGAAGUAAGGCAAUUUUAAAAAUCAUACAUUUUUUAUAACAUUUAUAACUCUUGGUGUUGAGCUGUCUCUUGAUAAUUUUUUUCUUUGGGGAAAAAACCCAAUAUUUGUUAAGCUCCAAUCAUGGGUCAUGAUACUAUUUUCAGAAGAUAUACAAUACAUCCCUGUAUGAGAGCUUGACAAACAGUUUUUUUGACAAUAUUGUUUUGUAUGUUAUUUCUUAUUUUUUAUGAUUCUUUUUCAGGAUUUCAAAGAGGAUACUUAAUAACGGUGUAAAUGGACAGUUGGUAUAAUGUCAAGCGACCUUUUAUUAAAAAAAUUUUUUUGUUCGACUUUAUUCCACUGGUCAUAAAACAUUUUGGUGUAUGGAUUUUGACUUUAAACCUGUUUUUUAAAAAGAUUUUUUUUGUGUUUUUUUUCUAAAAAUUUGGCAGUACGUUUAUUCUCUGAAGCGAGGGUAGUAUUUUUUUAUUUGACUAAAAUGAAACAAACUAGGAUAAGACAUAUUUUAAAAAUAUCAUUUGUUCAUUUUAGUGCUUAGGAUAUUUAGAACCACAAAUUUGGCUCAAAUGUGGCUCAACAAUGCCAAAUGUUCAAGUGUACAGGUUUUUUUUUCCGCGGUACAUUGGUGUUCAGGUGAGUUUUGUUCUUUUUAUUUGCAGAGAUUUAGAUAAUUUUUGUUCUCUCUUUACUAACUUGUGCAUGAAUUAUAAAAAUGUAGAAAAAAGUUAAUGAACAAUUUUAAUGUUAUGCUUCUUUCUUAAAGAACACUGACUUGCCAAUUUGUUUUUGAAAAUUGUGAUUAGCUUUUUAAGUCAGUAUAAUUUGCAAUGUGCACCUAGAUACUAGAUCGUCUUGAGGUCGAUGAACAAACAGGUUCUAAAUAAGUUUUAUGGAUGAUAUUUAACCAGAGCUGGAAACUCUUGCAUUGUGGAUGUCAAGAUCAAUGCUUCUAUUCAAUAUUUUUUUAAUCUGCAGAUUAAUUUCAACAAAAAUGUCCACAGUGGAUAUCAAAAUAAACGAUUAGGAGUAAGGGUAUCCAACACAAAAGUUCCCAGCUAUUAAGUAACAUUUACUGUAAAUGCCAAAAAGUAAUUAAGUCAAACUUUGUGUUCCCUGGUUUAAGAUUUCUAAGUGCAAGCAGGUGCACAUAGUAGGAUAUAUCAUUUAACGUAAAUAUGUAUUUAGAUUUGAGACGCAGUGCUGUCAGUACAGCUUUUGUGCAGGAUAACCAGCUAGUAGUUUAAGAAUGUUGAAACAGAUUUGGAUUGGUUUUUAGUAUUUUCAAGGGCGAUUGUUGACAACAAACAUCAGGCUUAAUUCCAACAUGACAAGUAUUCUACUGCAAAUUUAAAAUCAAAUAACAGCUUGAUGAUUUCAAAAUUAAAGGACUUAAAGAAAUUACUACAUAAGGGUUUACAUUUAGAAUUAUUGUUUUACACACAAUUUAUUUAAGGACACAAUUUUAAAAAUGUACUGCCAAUAUUUAAAAAGUUGCUUGGCCAAGAGGGAAGGAAUCGAUCAGGAAUUGUACACCAUUUUACGCAAUCAUUAGUCUCCAGUAAAAUCAGAUUGAAAGAAGAGAAUGUGCCCCAGCUGAUAAAAUAUGAGCUUGGACUAAGUAAAUAAACAGAGUUAAAGAUUGAAAGAAGAGGAUGUGCCCCAGCUGAUAAAAUAUGAGCUUGAACUAAGUAAAUAAACAGAGUUAAAGUUUGUAAGCCAGUUGGAGUUCCUGUUCAGUCCGAGCUUGUGGUUGGACAUAGAUGAGAAACUGAAGGAACUGGUUAAAACAGUCUUUCAACGCCUGCAUGUUUGGCAUGGCUCAGGAGUGCUGGAAUUAUGACUUGUCACUGGAAGGAUUAAGAUGUACGGGCUUCAG